GAAUGCUGACAUAAGUAACGAUAAAGCGGGUGAAAAGCCCGCUCGCCGGAAGACCAAGGGUUCCUGUCCAACGUUAAUCGGGGCAGGGUGAGUCGACCCCUAAGGCGAGGCCGAAAGGCGUAGUCGAUGGGAAACGGGUUAAUAUUCCCGUACUUGGUGUUACUGCGAAGGGGGGACGGAGAAGGCUAUGUUGGCCGGGCGACGGUUGUCCCGGUUUAAGCGUGUAGGUGUGUGUUCCAGGUAAAUCCGGUUCACUUUAACACUGAGGCGUGACGACGAGGCACUACGGUGCUGAAGCAACAAAUGCCCUGCUUCCAGGAAAAGCCUCUAAGCAUCAGGUAACAUCAAAUCGUACCCCAAACCGACACAGGUGGUCAGGUAGAGAAUACCAAGGCGCUUGAGAGAACUCGGGUGAAGGAACUAGGCAAAAUGGUGCCGUAACUUCGGGAGAAGGCACGCUGACACGUAGGUGAAGUGAUUUACUCAUGGAGCUGAAGUCAGUCGAAGAUACCAGCUGGCUGCAACUGUUUAUUAAAAACACAGCACUGUGCAAACACGAAAGUGGACGUAUACGGUGUGACGCCUGCCCGGUGCCGGAAGGUUAAUUGAUGGGGUCAGCGCAAGCGAAGCUCCUGAUCGAAGCCCCGGUAAACGGCGGCCGUAACUAUAACGGUCCUAAGGUAGCGAAAUUCCUUGUCGGGUAAGUUCCGACCUGCACGAAUGGCGUAAUGAUGGCCAGGCUGUCUCCACCCGAGACUCAGUGAAAUUGAACUCGCUGUGAAGAUGCAGUGUACCCGCGGCAAGACGGAAAGACCCCGUGAACCUUUACUAUAGCUUGACACUGAACAUUGAGCCUUGAUGUGUAGGAUAGGUGGGAGGCUUUGAAGUGUGGACGCCAGUCUGCAUGGAGCCGACCUUGAAAUACCACCCUUUAAUGUUUGAUGUUCUAACGUGGACCCGUUACCCGGGUUGCGGACAGUGUCUGGUGGGUAGUUUGACUGGGGCGGUCUCCUCCUAAAGAGUAACGGAGGAGCACGA
Molecule: ribosomal RNA, 1038 nt
Filed under: Salmonella enterica
Lineage: Bacteria; Pseudomonadati; Pseudomonadota; Gammaproteobacteria; Enterobacterales; Enterobacteriaceae
Also listed under: 1 other name
Description: partial 23S ribosomal RNA
Rfam family: Bacterial large subunit ribosomal RNA
Source: RNAcentral